GCCCCUGUAGCUCAACGGAUAGAGCACCGGACUUCUAAUCCGGUUGUUGUGGGUUCGAAUCCUACCAGGGGCG
RNAcentral lists this transfer RNA (73 nucleotides) under Anaerolineales bacterium. RNAcentral's name for it is "tRNA-Arg". It matches the Rfam family "tRNA". From Rfam's summary of the family: Transfer RNA (tRNA) molecules are approximately 80 nucleotides in length. Their secondary structure includes four short double-helical elements and three loops (D, anti-codon, and T loops). The record is from RNAcentral. Lineage: Bacteria; Bacillati; Chloroflexota; Anaerolineae; Anaerolineales.